Long non-coding RNA from Mustela lutreola (European mink), 645 nucleotides. RefSeq lists it as uncharacterized. The record is from RefSeq and is a predicted model, not a curated record. NCBI's taxonomy places the organism in Eukaryota, Metazoa, Chordata, Mammalia, Carnivora, Mustelidae. The transcript is spliced from 2 exons.
GAGUGCUUCGUUUCAAACGCCUUCGCCCUUGGGAGGUUCACCCAGCCAACACUCGAUUAUCCGUGACCUUGGAGGACAAAAGCAGCAAGCAGCACAGUCGCUGCCAACAGGUGUGGAGGCAUGAGUGGGCUCUCUCAAGACCACAGAGUAAGUCUCUGGUGGAGCCGAAAGCCUCGCUCAGACACCUCCCAGCCUGGCCUCGACACCUCUCUUUAAACCGUCCUCAGCAAUGUACCUGUCUUGUUGGUUUCCCGCUUUCCUCGUCUCCUGGAGCCAGUCUCUGCGCUGUCAUUCAUCAGUAGCAAGCAGUUUUCAGGACAGUCCCUGACCAGUGAACCGAGAGCCACUUUUCAUAUUGGGCCCAUUUUCACUGACCAUGGAAUCCACUCAGCUGCUCGCCUGUUUCCUGAGGUCCCUUCAGCCGCUCGCCUGGAGGAGAUGGACAGGACGCUACUUCCACCGGCUUCCGAGGAGCUUCCUACCAAGGCUGCUGCCAUGUGGUGAAGCCCGUCCCUAACGACCCUUACUCCACUUCGUACCCGAGAGACAGUAUUAUUAUUUAGUAUGGCUGUGGACGCGGUGGCCUUCAUUUGUUAAUGGUUUAGUCCUUCUCUGUACUGUAUUAUUAAAGAACGUAACCUCUUC